CCUACGGGAGGCAGCAGUGGGGAAUAUUGGACAAUGGGGGGAACCCUGAUCCAGCCAUGCCGCGUGUGUGAAGAAGGCCCUCGGGUUGUAAAGCACUUUCAGUGAGGAAGAACGCCUGGUGGUUAAUACCCAUCAGGAAAGACAUCACUCACAGAAGAAGCACCGGCUAACUCCGUGCCAGCAGCCGCGGUAAUACGGAGGGUGCGAGCGUUAAUCGGAAUUACUGGGCGUAAAGCGCGCGUAGGUGGCUUGAUAAGCCGGUUGUGAAAGCCCCGGGCUCAACCUGGGAACGGCCUCCGGAACUGUCAAGCUAGAGUGCAGGAGAGGUGGGUAGAAUUCCCGGUGUAGAGGUGAAAUGCGUAGAGAUCGGGAGGAACACCAGUGGCGAAGGCGGCCCACUGGAGUGACACUGACCCUGCGGUGCGCAUGCUUGGAUAGCAAACAGGAUUAGAGACCCAAGUAGGC
RNAcentral lists this ribosomal RNA (465 nucleotides) under Vreelandella stevensii. Its description in RNAcentral is "partial 16S ribosomal RNA". It matches the Rfam family "Bacterial small subunit ribosomal RNA", at positions 338 to 795 of the family's 1533-position model. Lineage: Bacteria; Pseudomonadati; Pseudomonadota; Gammaproteobacteria; Oceanospirillales; Halomonadaceae. The record is from RNAcentral.